This 947-nucleotide ribosomal RNA is filed under the name Escherichia coli. RNAcentral describes it as "partial 23S ribosomal RNA". It matches the Rfam family "Bacterial large subunit ribosomal RNA", at positions 1 to 950 of the family's 2925-position model. The record is from RNAcentral. Lineage: Bacteria; Pseudomonadati; Pseudomonadota; Gammaproteobacteria; Enterobacterales; Enterobacteriaceae.
AAAUAAGAUAUCAAGGGCAACAGGUGAAUGCCUUGGCGCUGAGAGGCGAUGAAAGACGCGGUAAGCUGCGAUAAGCAUCGGGGAGGAGCUAAACAUCCUACGAUCCGAUGAUUUCUGAAUGGGGAAACCCGAUGGGAGUCAUGUCCCGUCAUCCUGAGCUGAAUAUAUAGGCCCAGAGAAGCCAACCCGGGGAAGUGAAACAUCUCAGUACCCGGAGGAAGAGAAAUCAAACGAGACUCCCAAAGUAGCGGCGAGCGAAAUGGGAAGAGCCCAAACCGAGUGGUUUCGACCAUUCGGGGUUGUAGGGCCGGCAUACGCGAUUCUGGAGUAGGCAGAGGAAGUGAGCUGGAAAGCUCCGCCACAGCGGGUGAUAGCCCCGUACUCGAAACCGAAAAGGACGCAGCCGGUACCUGAGUACUGCGAGGCACGUGGAACCUCGUGGGAAUCUAGGGGGACCAUCCUCUAAGGCUAAGUACUCCUCAGCGACCGAUAGUGAACUAGUACCGUGAGGGAAAGGUGAAAAGAACCCCUGUUAGGGGAGUGAAAUAGAAUCUGAAACCUGUUGCCUACAAGCUGCGAGAGCUACUUCGGUAGUGAUCGCGUGCCUUUUGUAUAAUGAGUCAGCGAGUUACUCUACCGUGCGAGGUUAAGCGAAAGCGUAGCCGUAGUGAAAGCGAGGCUUAAUAGGCCGACUAGUACGUUGGAGUAGACCCGAAACCGGGUGAUCUAUCCAUGAGCAGGUUGAAGCAAGGGUAAAGCCUUGUGGAGGACCGAACCGUCAACGGCUGAAAACGUUCCGGAUGACUUGUGGAUAGGGGUGAAAGGUCAAUCAAACCCGGUGAUAGCUGGUUCUCCCCGAAAUAUAUUGAGGUAUAGCCUCGGGAAUUGAUUAGCGGAGGUAAAGCACUGACAGAGCUAGGGGUCCUACCAGAUUACCAAACUCUAUC